CCUACGGGAGGCAGCAGUGGGGAAUCUUGCGCAAUGGGCGGAAGCCUGACGCAGCGACGCCGCGUGCGGGACGAAGGCCUUCGGGUCGUAAACCGCUUUCAGCAGGGACGAGGCCCUCACGGUGUCGGUACCUGCAGACGAAGCCCCUGCGAACUACGUGCCCGCCUCCGCGGUAGUACGUAGGGUGCGAGCGUUAUCCUGAUUCAUUGGUUGGAAAGCGCGCGUAGGCGGCCUGUUAGGUCGGGGGUCAAAUACCGGGGCUCAACCCCGGUCCGCCCCCGAUACCGGCAGGCUUGAGUGUGGUAGGGGAAGGCGGAAUUCCCAGUGUAGCGGUGGAAUGCGCAGAUAUUGGGAAGAACACCGGCGGCGAAGGCGGCCUGCUGGGGCACGACUGACGCUGAGGCGCGAAAGCUAGGGGAGCGAACAGGAUUAGAUACCCCGGUAGUC
Molecule: ribosomal RNA, 447 nt
Filed under: uncultured bacterium
Lineage: Bacteria
Description: partial 16S ribosomal RNA
Rfam family: Bacterial small subunit ribosomal RNA
Source: RNAcentral